GGGACCGUCGGCUAGCAUGGUCUAGGCUAUGAGCCUCGGACGUUCGUGACCCCGGUUCAAAUCCGGGCGGUCCCACCA
Molecule: transfer RNA, 78 nt
Filed under: Candidatus Bathyarchaeota archaeon
Lineage: Archaea; Thermoproteati; Candidatus Bathyarchaeota
Also listed under: 2 other names
Description: tRNA-Pro
Rfam family: tRNA
About the family: Transfer RNA (tRNA) molecules are approximately 80 nucleotides in length. Their secondary structure includes four short double-helical elements and three loops (D, anti-codon, and T loops).
Source: RNAcentral